RNAcentral lists this ribosomal RNA (446 nucleotides) under uncultured bacterium. Its description in RNAcentral is "partial 16S ribosomal RNA". It matches the Rfam family "Bacterial small subunit ribosomal RNA", at positions 338 to 795 of the family's 1533-position model. The record is from RNAcentral.
CCUACGGGGUGCAGCAGUCGAGAAUCAUUCACAAUGGGGGAAACCCUGAUGGUGCGACGCCGCGUGGGGGAAUGAAGGUCUUCGGAUUGUAAACCCCUGUCAUGUGGGAGCAAAUUAAAAAGAUAGUACCACAAGAGGAAGAGACGGCUAACUCUGUGCCAGCAGCCGCGGUAAUACAGAGGUCUCAAGCGUUGUUCGGAAUCACUGGGCGUAAAGCGUGCGUAGGCUGUUUCGUAAGUCGUGUGUGAAAGGCCCGGGCUCAACCCGCGGACGGCACAUGAUACUGCGAGACUAGAGUAAUGGAGGGGGAACCGGAAUUCUCGGUGUAGCAGUGAAAUGCGUAGAUAUCGAGAGGAACACUCGUGGUGAAGGCGGGUUCCUGGACAUUAACUGACGCUGAGGCACGAAGGCCAGGGGAGCGAAAGGGAUUAGAUACCCCAGUAGUC